Molecule: ribosomal RNA, 514 nt
Filed under: uncultured bacterium
Lineage: Bacteria
Description: bacterial SSU rRNA
Rfam family: Bacterial small subunit ribosomal RNA
Source: RNAcentral
UGUAGCAAUACAAUACCUAGAGUGUCGUACGGGUGCGUAACACGUAUGCAACCUACCCAAAACAGGAGUAUAGCUCGGGGAAACUCGAAUUAACCCUCCAUAAGAUCGUGAAGUGGCAUCACUUAGCGCUUAAAACUGAGGUGGUUUUGGAUGGGCAUGCGUCUGAUUAGCUAGUUGGCGGGGUAAUGGCCCACCAAGGCGAUGAUCAGUAGGGGAACUGAGAGGUUGAUCCCCCACACUGGCACUGAGAUACGGGCCAGACUCCUACGGGAGGCAGCAGUAGGGAACAUUGGUCAAUGGGUGAGAGCCUGAACCAGCCAUGCCGCGUGCAGGAAGAAGGCCUUCUGGGUCGUAAACUGCUUUUGCCAGGGGAUAAAAAGACCGUGCGCGGUUAAUUGAAGGUACCUGGUGAAUAAGCCACGGCUAACUACGUGCCAGCAGCCGCGGUAAUACGUAGGUGGCAAGCGUUGUCCGGAUUUAUUGGGUUUAAAGGGUGCGUAGGCGGCCCUGUAAG